CCAGCAGCAGCCAAGGAAUCGAUAGCCUUUAAAUAAGUAAUUAGGGGAGCCGAAGACGUCGGCACAUCCAGGAGUGAGCAGGGGAACAUAAAUUCAUGACUCCCAGGCUCACUGGGCAAGGGCCUGGUUCUGUUUCUCGGUCAAGAAAUGUGACAGCGCCUGGGGGCAAUGAUGGUGGAGGAACAGGGAGCCAGUGUUGUAGAGUCUGUUUUCACUUUCCUGUCCUCUGUUUCUGGUGGCUUUUAGGAUAAGGAUCAAAAUCUUCUCCCAACCUAGAGAGGUAAAUCUGGAGCUGAAGCUGGCUCCGGUACAAUGUCAGCUUGUUUAUUCACUGGUUGUGUGACCUGAGACACACACCCUCUCUGUGCUCAGUUUCCCUAGCUGUAAAACGCCCCACCCCCACCCCCCAGCCCCCAAAUAAGGUCAUCAUGAGGUUUACAGACGUUCGUACCACAUGCAAAGCAUGCAGAGCAGUGUGGGCCGUGGUUAGCAUCCAGGGGCCUUUGUGACUAAGUCCCAACCCGAGGCUACAGCCUCGUGGGUGCUGCGCUCCCCAAGAAAGGGGUGAAGGGCCAUCGCAGGUGCCCGGGAAGCAAUCAUCUGCCGUUUUUCCCGUCCUCCUGCACCACCAUCACCCCCCCACCACCACCAGCCCCGCAGAAGUCGCAGAAAACAGCCAACAAGGGUGGCCGUUGAGUCCCACGGGGAUCACAAGGUUAUAAGAACAAAGGCUGCCACUUCCUCUCUCCCUGCGGUGCUGCCUGUGUGUGGACACCAUCUGAUGAGAAUGUAAUUCCUUUUAUGAUCCAGGAAGGUAUAAAAACGCAUAUAAACAACCACAUGUCAUCACUGGAGUUGGCCAUCACAUUUUUAUUGGUCUACAGCGUGUGUUUUUGUUAGCCUGACGUCUGUUAGAAACCAGGUUCUGAAACACUGUCCUCGUUUGGGUGCUGGAGACAAAUAGUAUCCAGAAGCCAUUCCCAGGCCUGGUCUCAGGGAAACAGUCCCCAGAGCAGGAGGGUGUGUGUGUGUGUGCGUGUGCAUGUGCGUGCGCGUGCAUGCUUGCUCCUCCCUGGAGGUUCCCUGGUCCAGGCUCAGUGGAGGAAUCGGAGGCCCAGGGCAAGGCAGUGCUCUGUCCAGGAUCAUGGGACUGCUUGGUUCAGCACCAUUUUCUGAGCAUGUCAGGGAGCCCCAGCUGCUGCUGGAGCCAGCCCCCCAGUCUCAGGGGUGCCACGGAGCUGUCCUUCUAGCUUGUGUGGCAGACAGCGUGGUGGAUGAUGGGUGGAUGGGCCUCCCUGCUUCGUGUGGCUCCACCCUCCUCUAAAGCCUCAGACUCUUCUGCUUCCAGCUGAAUGGGGGAAGGAUCCGGAGGCUCGCAAGGUUUUACGGAUUUUUACGGAGAUGUUUAGGUAGGGCCUGGAAGUGGCUCAGCCACAUCUGUCCACAUCCCUCAGCGGAUCACUAGGUCAUGGUCGAUACCAAACUGCAAGGGAGGCUAGGAAAUGUAGCCCAGCUGGGUGCCUGCGAGGAAGACGAGGCAGACUGGUCUCAGUGCCCAGCCCCGAGCUGGAAGCUGCCUGGGCAGAGAUGCUGAGAUGGAGAUGCAGGCCCAUCAGUUUGAGGUUCCCAAUAAGGGCUGGUCUAGCAUGUUAUCAAUCGCUAGAAGCCCAUGACUCCUCUCUAGAGAGACCUCACCCCAGGAUAAGCCUAAGGCUCCCGGGGUCCUUGCUACCUCGCGCCAAGUGGUGUCAGCCACCCUUGUUUCUAAAGGGUUGCAGAGAAGUGGGGAGGCUGGGUUCAUUUCCUGAAAGGCCCUAUUCUCUGCCUCAGGCCAGCAGAAUUUCCUUUCAGGGGGAGGCAGGGGCCUCUCUCCCCAGGGUUACCUGUCACCUCACACCCCCACAGGGCUGGGCUCUCAACAAAACAGCCCUGGAGGGAGGACCAGCACCUCAGUUCACACACACACACACACUCACGCAUACACACAAAUGCGCCCAUGCACACACACAUCUCAGAACCAGCUAUAGCCGACAUCUGCUGCUUUGGUUAACCAGUAUCUGUUUGGGGGAUCCCAAGGUCUGUUUGGAGGACCCCCCUCCCACCACAGACAUGGACUGCAGCACGUAUUCUGCACCCCCACCAACUAGAAUGUGGACAUGGGGCCUAAAGUGUGGCCAACUGGACACGCCCUCCUGGGACUUCCACUCCAUAGGGUGACACAGAGGCCUGGCACCCAUCAGACCUUUAAAGGGCGCUGCAGCCGAAGGGCACCUCUCCAGCUGCCAGCAGGGGCCAUGAUGACCAGCUGGCAGGUGGCAGGCUCUGGCGUGGCACCUUGGCUGGGCCUUCACGCUCGGGUUCCCGUCAAGCCUGUUUCUCCAGUCCCCUGUCAACUGCCUGCGCCACCUGAAGCUCUCCCAGACACCUCUUUCAGGUGAGCCCCGCCUCCUGCAUCCUUGGCCUUGCACCUGCUCACCCACCCCCUCCCGCCAAGGAUUUCCUUGGCUGCCGGCUUCAGCCGGGCUGUCCCAGACCCCAGGCAAGUCUGACAGCUUCCACCCUCCAGGGAAAGGCCAGGGUUCCCACCUCUUUCCUCCAGGGGAUUCUGCAGCAAAUUUCAAAUUAAGUUGCGUUUUCACACUCCUGCAGAGUUCAGCGUUCUCAGGAGGGCUGUGGUAGAACCAAGGUAAUUGCCAUUCUUAGUAAUCCCAUGUGCACCUCAAAGCAUUCUUCUGAGAAGAAGCCCACCCUCCACUUGAUGCCCAAGGGGUCCAGGACAGCAGGACCCCUCUGGACUGUAGCCCCCAGGCUGCUGGUGCCAGGAUUCCUUACUCAACAACAUGGGCCCUUUGCCUGUUGAGAGCCCCCUUGCUUGACCCAUCCUCCCUGCACUGUUCCUUCUGGAAAAAGAUCCCUACUUUCUUUGGGGGGCCAGCUCCUCUCUCCACCCUACAGAAGUAGGUGGGCCCUGUAGGAGUUUUCACAUUGUCACAUGCCCUCACUCUCUCAGUUCAGCCAAUUCAGGAGGAGUGGGCUCCUGACCCAAACCUGGCCAAUCAGCUCCUUCUCUGUGGUGGUGGUGGUUGUUGUUUUAAACUGGAACUAGGAGUUCCCAUUGCAGCUCAGAGGAUUAAGAACUCGACAUAGUGUCUAUGAGGACACAGGUGUGAUCCCUGGCCUCACUCAGUGGGUUAAGGAUCCAGUGUUGCUGUGAGCUGCGCUGUAGGCCACAGCUGUGGCUCGGAGCUGGCAUUCCUGAGGCUGUGGCAUAGUCUGGCAGUUGUAGCUCCAAUUUGAUCCCUGGCCCAGGCACUUCCAUAUGCCACAGGUGUGGCCGUAAAAAGAAAAAAGAAAAAGAAAAA
RNAcentral lists this long non-coding RNA (3362 nucleotides) under Sus scrofa (pig). RNAcentral describes it as "lncRNA (ENSSSCG00045003433.1)". Lineage: Eukaryota; Metazoa; Chordata; Mammalia; Artiodactyla; Suidae. The record is from RNAcentral.